This 102-nucleotide non-coding RNA is filed under the name Nomascus leucogenys (northern white-cheeked gibbon). The record is from RNAcentral. Lineage: Eukaryota; Metazoa; Chordata; Mammalia; Primates; Hylobatidae.
GGCUGGUCCAAUGGUAGUGGGUAUCAGAACGUAUUAACAUUAGUGUCACUACAAGUUAGUGUUCAACCCCCCACUGAGGCACUGCUACAUUUGACUGGGAAG